This 2291-nucleotide long non-coding RNA is filed under the name Homo sapiens (human). Its description in RNAcentral is "HSALNT0387165". Lineage: Eukaryota; Metazoa; Chordata; Mammalia; Primates; Hominidae. The record is from RNAcentral.
GUCUGUUAAAAAUAAAGAUGAAUUAGACUCACCUUAGACAGAUUGACUCAAAAUCUCUGGAGGGAACCCAGGAACCUUCAUUCUAACAAGAACCCCCAGGUGGUUCUUAGCACUUCAAAGUUGGGGAGCCUCUGCUUCCAUCGGAAAGCAUCAAGCAACAAUGGCCAUAAUAGAAAUGCUACUAUCAAUGGGACAGAAAAGAUACCUGGGAAAGAUUGCUCCUGUUGGCUGUGACAGCUUCUCUGACUUUGUUUGUGAUGACUUCGAGAGUCUUAAGGAGAAAUCAUCGGCUAUUUUGUAGAAUGGCCCUCAAGUGUGGUUUUGGCAGGUGAUUUUCUCAUGAUUGGACUGGGGUUGUGGGUUUUUGGAAGGAAGAAUACAGACAUAGUCAUUUCCAUAACAUCCAUUCACUUCAAAGGUGUCAUUCAGGAGCUCUCUUCAUGCCCACAAUAUUCCCCCUUCUAAUUGAAUUCUCAAAGUAGAAUCAGAUCAAUACAGAACCCUGAAGGUAUCGUGAUUGAGAAGGCUCUCAGCUGCACCUGCUACUGGAAUUAUACCUGUGAUCAGAAGCUCCUGUUUUUAUUUCGACAAAGAAAUGGAAUUCAUAAAAUAGAGUAACAGACUGCCCCAUAAAGGAGAGUAUGGUGGUGAACUCUCAAGAACUAUUGCAAUUAUUUCCUAGAAGGAAGGAGAUACAGAAAUAUAAGAAACGAAUGCAAAGAAGGCAAGGAGAGCAAAAAAGAACAGGAGGAAGGAAGAGUGAAAGGAUGAAGAAGAGAGAAGAAUAUAGUGUUCAUUGAGUAUCUGCUCAAAUUAAGGAUAAAGCCACAUGUUUUCGUAAAUUUUCUCUAAUAUCCAUAGCAAUCUAGUAUCCAUAGCCAAACAAAUAAGUGACUUCCACUUAACAAAGGAACUGAAGCCCAAAAAAGUUAAUAUGGACGAGUCACACAGCAACUGGGAUUGAAGCUGAAUAAAUCUAGCUCCAAGGCAUUCUCUUGUAGGCUGCUCUUCUCAUGUCUGCUAGGAUUACAUGGGUCAAGCACAACCCUGUCAGGUUUCAGUGAUCAGAAGGACAGAACCUUGCUGUUAGACAGAAACUAGGGUCUCUAUACUGGGCCAACUCCUUGUUCUCAAACUCAGGAGCUGGAAUUGCCAGACCUUGGAACCAGCUGACUGGAGACUGUGUCCCCAUUAAAGGAAAUGUCCAGGAUUUCAUUUCAUGUUAUGUCCCCCCCCACCGCCCCACCUCUUCCUCCUUAGUGCUUUCUUUCUCUCUGAUAUCAGCUCUGCUACAGUUUGAGGCAAGGGUUGGGACUAGAAUUGUAGUUUUUUGAAUCUCAGUGUGGUUGCUUUUGGUACUUGUUGAGGCCUCCAUGUAGUCAAAUUCAUUAUCGUAUAUAAAGUUACAAUUAAGAGUUGGAAAUAAUAUAUGAAGAUCAGAUGGAGGAUGUGAGGCUACAAAUCCCUGACAUCUACCUCUACAUAGCUAAUCUGUGAAAUGGGAUUAUCAUGGUAUGAUGUGUCCAGAGCGGUCCUCAUUAUGUCAUCCUUUCAGUCUAUUAGUAAGAUGUUUUGAAGGCAUUACUAGAAAGCAUUCAGUAGAUAUAAACUAUAUGACCCUAGAAAGGAAUUCACAUGCCUGGUACAUUGAACAAUCAUCACUGAGGUUGCUCAAUAGGGCUGAUAAGGACUCCAGGGAAAUAAGCUAGCAUAGGUGUAGGGGUAAGGGAACUGAAGUCAGUGUGCUUGACUCUAUGUUCCAGCUUUGACUAAAUUUCCUGGUUCUUCAUUUUCUCAGUUUUAAAACAAAUGAAGAUGAUAAAAAAGAGCUUUCUUAUGGCCAUUCUCUGCCUAAUACUUCAUGUCCCAUAACAGCAGCUCUGAGCAAGUAUCUAGCUCCCUUAGAGUUUUUUGAUGGCCUCCUUUGAUGCUCCCUGCUAUUCUUGGGAUAAACCCUAAAGUCUUGAGGUGAUCUGUGGGGUUCCUUCUUCUCUGUGCCCUAGCUAUCUUUGAGCCUCAGUUUUUAUUUGCUUCCCCCUUCUACCCUCAGGUUUGUCAUGCUGCCUUAUGGGCAGGGCCCCUGUGCCUGAAUCCCCACCUCACCUACCUCUUCCUGCUUAGUGCUUUCUUUCUCUCUGAUAUCAGGUCUGCUACACUUUUCUAAGGAAAGCAGUUCUGACCCUUUUAUGCAUGUCAAUUCUCCUUCUGUUAUAUGUCUUAUUUACCACAUAACUCUUGGAAUCAUUUUAUUAUGUUGCUGUUGAUUUGUGAGUUACCUUUUUUUUUUUAAA